RNAcentral lists this antisense RNA (69 nucleotides) under Amycolatopsis australiensis. RNAcentral's name for it is "ASpks TB sRNA". It matches the Rfam family "ASpks TB sRNA". The record is from RNAcentral. Lineage: Bacteria; Bacillati; Actinomycetota; Actinomycetes; Pseudonocardiales; Pseudonocardiaceae.
CUUGAUCGCGCCGAGCCACAGCGGCCGGUCCCGGUCCUGGCCGUAGGUGGCCAGCAGCGCCUGGGCCUC